RNAcentral lists this ribosomal RNA (240 nucleotides) under uncultured bacterium. RNAcentral's name for it is "partial 16S ribosomal RNA". It matches the Rfam family "Bacterial small subunit ribosomal RNA", at positions 15 to 244 of the family's 1533-position model. The record is from RNAcentral.
GAUCCUGGCUCAGGAUGAACGCUAGCUACAGGCUUAACACAUGCAAGUCGAGGGGAAACGACAUCGAAAGCUUGCUUCCGAUGGGCGUCGACCGGCGCACGGGUGAGUAACGCGUAUCCAACCUGCCCACCACUUGGGGAUAACCUUGCGAAAGUAAGACUAAUACCCAAUGAUAUCUCUAGAAGGCAUCCGAAUGGGAUUAAAGAUUUAUCGGUGAUGGAUGGGGAUGCGUCUGAUUAG